This 505-nucleotide ribosomal RNA is filed under the name uncultured bacterium. Its description in RNAcentral is "bacterial SSU rRNA". It matches the Rfam family "Bacterial small subunit ribosomal RNA", at positions 28 to 520 of the family's 1533-position model. The record is from RNAcentral.
GACGAACGCUGGCGGCGUGCCUAAUACAUGCAAGUCGAGCGGACGGAUCCCUUCGGGGUGAAGUUAGCGGCGGACGGGUGAGUAACACGUAGGCAACCUGCCCUUAAGACUGGGAUAACCUCCGGAAACGGAUGCUAAUACCAGAUAAUCGGCUUCUCCUCCUGGAGAGGCCGGGAAAGACGGAGCAAUCUGUCACUUGAGGAUGGGCCUGCGGCGCAUUAGCUAGUUGGUGAGGUAACGGCUCACCAAGGCGACGAUGCGUAGCCGACCUGAGAGGGUGAUCGGCCACACUGGGACUGAGACACGGCCCAGACUCCUACGGGAGGCAGCAGUAGGGAAUCUUCCGCAAUGGACGAAAGUCUGACGGAGCAACGCCGCGUGAGUGAGGAAGGCUUUCGGGUCGUAAAGCUCUGUUGCCAGGGAAGAACGGGUAGAGGAGUAACUGCCUUUGCCAUGACGGUACCUGAGAAGAAAGCCCCGGCUAACUACGUGCCAGCCGCCGCCG